ACGAACGCUGGCGGCGCGCCUAACACAUGCAAGUCGAACGGAGUCAAGAGGAGCUUGCUUUUCUUGACUUAGUGGCGAACGGGUGAGUAACGCGUGAGUAACCUGCCCUGGAGUGGGGGACAACAGUUGGAAACGACUGCUAAUACCGCAUAAGCCCACGGAUCCGCAUGGAUCUGCGGGAAAAGGAUUUAUUCGCUUCAGGAUGGACUCGCGUCCAAUUAGCUAGUUGGUGAGGUAACGGCCCACCAAGGCGACGAUUGGUAGCCGGACUGAGAGGUUGAACGGCCACAUUGGGGCUGAGACACGGCCCAGACUCCUACGGGAGGCAGCAGUGGGGGAUAUUGCACAAUGGGGGAAACCCUGAUGCAGCGACGCCGCGUGGAGGAAGAAGGUUUUCGGAUUGUAAACUCCUGUCGUUAGGGACGAUAAUGACGGUACCUAACAAGAAAGCACCGGCUAACUACGUG
Molecule: ribosomal RNA, 467 nt
Filed under: uncultured bacterium
Lineage: Bacteria
Description: partial 16S ribosomal RNA
Rfam family: Bacterial small subunit ribosomal RNA
Source: RNAcentral